RNAcentral lists this ribosomal RNA (253 nucleotides) under uncultured prokaryote. RNAcentral's name for it is "partial 16S ribosomal RNA". It matches the Rfam family "Bacterial small subunit ribosomal RNA", at positions 525 to 777 of the family's 1533-position model. The record is from RNAcentral.
ACGUAGGUGGCAAGCGUUGUCCGGAUUUACUGGGCGUAAAGAGCGCGCAGGCGGUCGUUCAAGUCGCGUGUGAAAGCCCCCGGCUCAACUGGGGAGGGUCACGCGAUACUGAUCGACUCGAAGGCAGGAGAGGGUAGUGGAAUUCCCGGUGUAGUGGUGAAAUGCGUAGAUAUCGGGAGGAACACCAGUGGCGAAGGCGACUACCUGGUCCAGAUCUGACGCUGAGGUGCGAAAGCGUGGGGAGCAAACGGGA